Molecule: ribosomal RNA, 400 nt
Filed under: uncultured bacterium
Lineage: Bacteria
Description: bacterial SSU rRNA
Rfam family: Bacterial small subunit ribosomal RNA
Source: RNAcentral
AUUGAACGCUGGCGGCAUGCUUUACACAUGCAAGUCGAACGGGGUGAAGGGGCAACUCUUCAUUCAGUGGCGAACGGGUGAGUAAUACAUCGGAACGUACCCCGUAGUGGGGGAUAACUCGGCGAAAGCCGUGCUAAUACCGCAUAUGCUCUACGGAGGAAAAGCAGGGGACCGCAAGGGCCUUGUGCUAUGGGAGCGGCCGAUGUCCGAUUAGCUAGUUGGUGAGGUAAUGGCNCACCAAGGCGACGAUCAGUAGCUGGUCUGAGAGGAUGAUCAGCCACACUGGGACUGAGACACGGCCCAGACUCCUACGGGAGGCAGCAGUGGGAAUAUUGGACAAUGGGCGCAAGCCUGAUCCAGCCAUGCCGCGUGAGUGAUGAAGGCCUUAGGGUUGUAAAGC